RNAcentral lists this ribosomal RNA (281 nucleotides) under Salmonella enterica. RNAcentral describes it as "partial 23S ribosomal RNA". It matches the Rfam family "Bacterial large subunit ribosomal RNA", at positions 1935 to 2215 of the family's 2925-position model. The record is from RNAcentral. RNAcentral also lists the same sequence under 2 other names. Lineage: Bacteria; Pseudomonadati; Pseudomonadota; Gammaproteobacteria; Enterobacterales; Enterobacteriaceae.
CGUAACUAUAACGGUCCUAAGGUAGCGAAAUUCCUUGUCGGGUAAGUUCCGACCUGCACGAAUGGCGUAAUGAUGGCCAGGCUGUCUCCACCCGAGACUCAGUGAAAUUGAACUCGCUGUGAAGAUGCAGUGUACCCGCGGCAAGACGGAAAGACCCCGUGAACCUUUACUAUAGCUUGACACUGAACAUUGAGCCUUGAUGUGUAGGAUAGGUGGGAGGCUUUGAAGCGUGGACGCCAGUCUGCGUGGAGCCGACCUUGAAAUACCACCCUUUAAUGUUU